This 457-nucleotide ribosomal RNA is filed under the name uncultured bacterium. Its description in RNAcentral is "bacterial SSU rRNA". It matches the Rfam family "Bacterial small subunit ribosomal RNA", at positions 340 to 786 of the family's 1533-position model. The record is from RNAcentral.
UACGGGAGGCAGCAGUGGGGAAUAUUGCACAAUGGGCGAAAGCCUGAUGCAGCUAUGCCGCGUGUAUGAAGAAGGCCUUAGGGUUGUAAAGUACUUUCAUCGGGGAGGAAAAAACAAACUAAUAAUUUUAUUUCUUGACGUUACCCGAAAAAGAAGCACCGGCUAACUCCGUGCCAGCAGCCGCGGUAAUACGGAGGGUGCUAGCGUUAAUCAGAAUUACUGGGCGUAAAGAGCACGUAGGUGGUUUUUUAAGUUCAGAUGUGAAAUCCCUGGGCUUAACCUAGGAACUGCAUUUUGAAACUGAAAUACUAGAGUAUCGUAGAGGGAGGUAGAAUUCUAGGUGUAGCGGUGAAAUGCGUAGAUAUCUGGAGGAAUACCUGUGGCGAAAGCGGCCUCCUAAACGAAUACUGACACUGAGGUGCGAAAAGCGUGGGGGAGCAAACAGGGAUUAGAUACC